Molecule: ribosomal RNA, 253 nt
Filed under: uncultured bacterium
Lineage: Bacteria
Description: partial 16S ribosomal RNA
Rfam family: Bacterial small subunit ribosomal RNA
Source: RNAcentral
UACGUAGGGCGCGAGCGUUGUCCGGAAUUAUUGGGCGUAAAGAGCUCGUAGGUGGCUUGUUGCGUCUGCCGUGAAAGCCCGUGGCUUAACUACGGGUCUGCGGUGGAUACGGGCAGGCUAGAGGCUGGUAGGGGCAAGCGGAAUUCCUGGUGUAGCGGUGAAAUGCGCAGAUAUCAGGAGGAACACCGGUGGCGAAGGCGGGACUCUGGGCCGAUACUGACGCUGAGGAGCGAAAGCGUGGGGAGCAAACAGG